AACGAACGCUGGCGGCAGGCCUAACACAUGCAAGUCGAGCGCCCCGCCAGGGGAGCGGCGGACGGGUGAGUAACGCGUGGGAACGUACCCUUUGCUACGGAAUAGCCUCGGGAAACUGGGAGUAAUACCGUAUGUGUCCUCCGGGAGAAAGAUUUAUCGGCAAGGGAUCGGCCCGCGUUGGAUUAGGUAGUUGGUGGGGUAAUGGCCUACCAAGCCGACGAUCCAUAGCUGGUUUGAGAGGAUGAUCAGCCACACUGGGACUGAGACACGGCCCAGACUCCUACGGGAGGCAGCAGUGGGGAAUCUUAGACAAUGGGCGCAAGCCUGAUCUAGCCAUGCCGCGUGAGCGAUGAAGGCCUUAGGGUUGUAAAGCUCUUUCAGGGGGGAAGAUAAUGACUGUACCCCCAGAAGAAGCCCCGGCUAACUCCGUG
Molecule: ribosomal RNA, 431 nt
Filed under: uncultured bacterium
Lineage: Bacteria
Description: partial 16S ribosomal RNA
Rfam family: Bacterial small subunit ribosomal RNA
Source: RNAcentral